This is a non-coding RNA of Phaeosphaeria sp. MPI-PUGE-AT-0046c, 92 nucleotides long. The record is from the annotation of a GenBank genome assembly. NCBI's taxonomy places the organism in Eukaryota, Fungi, Ascomycota, Dothideomycetes, Pleosporales, Phaeosphaeriaceae.
UCCGGUAUGGUGUAUCGGCUAGCAUCGUUCGCUUUCAUAACCAUGUGUUGGAGAGCUCCGAACAGAGCCGGGUUCGAUUCCCGGUACCGGAA